Molecule: ribosomal RNA, 408 nt
Filed under: Kocuria sp. shp8
Lineage: Bacteria; Bacillati; Actinomycetota; Actinomycetes; Micrococcales; Micrococcaceae
Description: bacterial SSU rRNA
Rfam family: Bacterial small subunit ribosomal RNA
Source: RNAcentral
GCGGAGCCUGAUGCAGCGACGCCGCGUGAGGGAUGACGGCCUUCGGGUUGUAAACCUCUUUCAGUAGGGAAGAAGCGAGAGUGACGGUACCUGCAGAAGAAGCGCCGGCUAACUACGUGCCAGCAGCCGCGGUAAUACGUAGGGCGCAAGCGUUGUCCGGAAUUAUUGGGCGUAAAGAGCUCGUAGGCGGUUUGUCGCGUCUGCUGUGAAAGCCCGGGGCUCAACCCCGGGUCUGCAGUGGGUACGGGCAGACUAGAGUGCAGUAGGGGAGACUGGAAUUCCUGGUGUAGCGGUGAAAUGCGCAGAUAUCAGGAGGAACACCGAUGGCGAAGGCAGGUCUCUGGGCUGUUACUGACGCUGAGGAGCGAAAGCAUGGGGAGCGAACAGGAUUAGAUACCCUGGUAGUCC